ACGAUGAAGCCGCUUCGGUGGUGGAUUAGUGGCGAACGGGUGAGUAACACGUGGGCAAUCUGCCCUGCACUCUGGGACAAGCCCUGGAAACGGGGUCUAAUACCGGAUAUGAUCACCGGCCGCAUGGUCUGGUGGUGGAAAGCUCCGGCGGUGCAGGAUGAGCCCGCGGCCUAUCAGCUUGUUGGUGGGGUGAUGGCCUACCAAGGCGACGACGGGUAGCCGGCCUGAGAGGGCGACCGGCCACACUGGGACUGAGACACGGCCCAGACUCCUACGGGAGGCAGCAGUGGGGAAUAUUGCACAAUGGGCGCAAGCCUGAUGCAGCGACGCCGCGUGAGGGAUGACGGCCUUCGGGUUGUAAACCUCUUUCAGCAGGGAAGAAGCGCAAGUGACGGUACCUGCAGAAGAAGCACCGGCUAACUACGUGCCAGCAGCCGCGGUAAUACGUAGGGUGCGAGCGUUGUCCGGAAUUAUUGGGCGUAAAGAGCUCGUAGGCGGCCUGUCGCGUCGGAUGUGAAAGCCCGGGGCUUAACCCCGGGUCUGCAUUCGAUACGGGCAGGCUAGAGUUCGGUAGGGGAGAUCGGAAUUCCUGGUGUAGCGGUGAAAUGCGCAGAUAUCAGGAGGAACACCGGUGGCGAAAGGCGGAUCUCUGGGCCGAUACUGACGCUGA
This 670-nucleotide ribosomal RNA is filed under the name Streptomyces sp. 7-205. RNAcentral's name for it is "bacterial SSU rRNA". It matches the Rfam family "Bacterial small subunit ribosomal RNA", at positions 66 to 749 of the family's 1533-position model. Lineage: Bacteria; Bacillati; Actinomycetota; Actinomycetes; Kitasatosporales; Streptomycetaceae. The record is from RNAcentral.